This 412-nucleotide ribosomal RNA is filed under the name uncultured bacterium. RNAcentral describes it as "bacterial SSU rRNA". It matches the Rfam family "Bacterial small subunit ribosomal RNA", at positions 364 to 774 of the family's 1533-position model. The record is from RNAcentral.
UUGGUCAAUGGACGCAAGUCUGAACCAGCCAUGCCGCAUGAAGGAUGAAGGUCCUCUGGAUUGUAAACUUCUUUUAUCUGGGACGAAAACGGGAUUUUUAUCUCAAUUGACGGUACCAGAGGAAUAAGCACCGGCUAACUCCGUGCCAGCAGCCGCGGUAAUACGGAGGGUGCGAGCGUUAUCCAGAUUUACUGGGUUUAAAGGGUGCGUAGGUGGGCUUAUAAGUCAGUGGUGAAAUCUCCGAGCUUAACUUGGAAACUGCCGUUGAUACUAUAGGUCUUGAAUUAUCUGGAGGUAAGCGGAAUAUGUCAUGUAGCGGUGAAAUGCUUAGAUAUAACAUAGAACACCAAUUGCGAAGGCAGCUUACUACAUAUAAAUUGACGCUGAGGCACGGAAGCGUGGGGAUCAAACA